UGUUAAUGUUGUCAGUAUCGUCGUUUCCUGCGUCCGCUCGGGGAUCCGCGUAGUGUUUCUGCGACUCCCACAAGCGACGCCGGCCUAUUCAAUGAACAUUCGUGGGCAUCGUGUGAGACGGUGCGCGGUCGUAGGCGGUCCUGUGAGAAUUGUGCAAAACCGUUCGGUGCGUGUUCAAAACACGCCGCGAUAGUAAAAAAUUGGUAUAUUCCUAGCCAGCACUCGCGAUCAUUUGGAGAGAUGAAAUUCGGUUUCGGAGCACGCACUAUUCACACAGUCGUAGGAGUAAAACAAAGUAGGUUUCGAAAAAAUUAUGGACGCUGCAACCGCAUGGGAGAAAAUUGAACAAGUCUUGUCCAACACGCGGCCUAACCAAAGAACUGAUAUUCUGUUCGGCCUACGGAAUUGGCUAGAGUCUUGUGGAGAAGAACGGCCCGAUACGGCCGUGAACCAAAAAGUUGCUUCUCAAUUGGAUAUCAUUGCUGACUUCAUUCGAAAAAAACUGCCUUUGGAUGCAAUACUACCCUCGGAGAGGAUAGUCGCUCCAACUUCUGGAGAGAACGCCGAUUGUAACCCGCGUACUACAAUGCAUGUUGAUGCUUUCCUUUACCCGGAUGAAGAAAUUAAUAAACUUUGUGAAGAUGGCAUUCUUUCAAUGUCCUAUUGCUCCGAUUGUGGGUCAAGGAAUAUCCGACCGCUCACUAUUAUUUCUCACUCAGCGUCGAAAAGUCGAACUCAGUUCAUCUUUCAGAAGGUAUUGCCUCCUGAUCUUGUGAACGGCGGUACAGUGGUUGAUGUGGGAUCUCGGUUGGGUGUGCUCUGUUAUGGGGCUUAUUUGAUGUCCGGCGCAAGUCGGAUAAUAGGAGUCGAAUUAAACUCAGAUCUGUGUACUCUGCAAGAAAGUGUUAUCCAAAGAUUUUCUAUGAAUGAUCGAAUUCAGAUCGUGAAUGCUGAUAUAGUGAGUUUGCCGGACGUUCUCGCUGGAGCCAACGCUGUCUUUAUUAAUAACUCGUUUGAGUUUUUUAGUGAUCACUCCAAGCAACGUGAAAUAUGGGCGUUCAUUGCCAGAAGUUGUAAGCCAGGAUGUAUUCUAGUCACCGUGCCUUCACUGGAAGAUGCUUUCAAGUCCUUGCAAAUUUCUCCAACACUGGUUGAUCUUACGAAAUGGGUACGCAAGAUGCCUAUUGCGCUGAGUUUUAUGGAUGAGAGCGACGAUGAAUUCGCUGAGAUGAAAGAAGUUCAUCGAUACGAAGUGUUAAACCCAAUGAAGUGACGUUUGCUGUUGUUGUAAGGAGCAACCGUUCUCAGCAGCGUGUCGUUGAAGCCAUACGCGAUAUUGCCACAGGAAACGGCGUUCUUCUAUUCGCCAUCUGCGCAAGCUCCUGGUAGGAGAAAAGCACCUUUUGUUUACUGCACUUCUGAGGCUUCUAUGCCUUCAUCUACCACUCAAGAGCCUCUGAGUACUUCACAACCGGGGGCGCACGUAUACCUUCUAGGUAACGAAAUGCUUACUGUUACGUACACACAUCUACGUACACAUUAAGUACAUGAUUUGAAUUAAAAGAAAAAUCAAGGCUAAGUUGCAACUCAUAUGCUCGUAGGUGACAUAUGUCGUAUUAUUUCGAGGUCUUAGUUUUAUCAUGAAAAAAAGUAAAAUAUUAGAUGUAUCAAACAAACUGCAAUUUCAUAAAUUUUGAACUACAAAAUUAAAGAAUACCCUUCUUAGUCUCCUUUUAAUGGCCUUCUAGUGAACAUCAGCUCUAGAAAUUCCAGGAAAAAAGUUCCAAGUUCUAAUCUCGAAAAUCGAUGCUUAGUAUUCAUUUUUUGUCCACAAAGGCCACAGCGUUGCGAAAUAAAGAUGUUAAACAAGAAGGGAUUAUGCGAAGUACAGUCAGUGAAUCGCGAAAAUGUUGUAAGAACCAAGAUUGAAGUGUAGGACCAGGCAAUAGAUGACCAGAUGUCGGACAUAUGAACGCAUGGCCACAAUUGAGAGGUAUUUUCACGUAAGUUGAGUUUGGAGUCCGGGGGCUGAGUAGGCAUAACACACGAAGUGUCACAGAAAUAUAACCCAAUCCUAAAAAUUAUAAUAAAUACUGGAUACAGAUUUAUAACAAGUACUAAAAUCGCCCGCGCAUUGACUCUAUACCAAUUGAUUGCAUAUAUGCAUUCCAUGUGCAAUUUGCGAAUUCCUAAUAAACGAAAAACCUGCCUAAAGCCCAUACACUAGGCAUAGUUCAAUUUGUACCGCCAACCGGAGAGGGUGCCAGGGGAAAGAACGACGCUGCCCUGGAGGCUAUCGUUUCUUUAUCACAAUUGCAGACGUUCUGGCUAUGCCUCAGUUAUUUUCUAGAUUGCGCAAAGGAAUAUCCAGCCUUGGCCUCAACCUGCUUAUCUCCCGGUCUACGUUCGUAUAAUUACGGGGCCUUUUUAUGUCUUCGAAAGGAUAACUGGUGGGCAAGCAAAUAUUCUCCAGGUACGUAUAAAGCUGUCAACAAUGUUGAAUGGUUCUUUAACAAGGCGGUUCACGUCAUACAUCAGUCCAACUAUAAUUGCUAUCCAAAAGCACAGUCCGCUACUUCGUAUUUGCCAACACGAAUGUACCCAGACUUAAUAUAUUAAACAUGCCUUCCACGUCAAAAUGAAAAGAAGUCCAUUAGGUUAACGAAAAGAGGUCCAUUAGGUUAUAUGAUAAUCAGUUUAAUACGCGUAGCAAUAUUGAGAGAUGAAGCUGCCUUGUUUUUUUUUUGUUUUGCCAUUGCUUUCCAUUAAAGAUUUAACCUCAACCGAUCCGAAGGUGCCUCACAGCUUGCGGCUCUAGAGGCUCCUAAAACACUGCUACGGGAGGUGCUUUCGAUACAAGCGUUUUGCCUCAUUACUACACAUGCUCCACAUGUGCCUUUUUUUUUUUUGACAUAGCAUUUUCCUUCACUAAUAAACGUUUUUUGUUAGGCCUCUCACUAGAUUUGACCCUAAUAACGAUAUAAGCCUAAUGUUCUCCUUCGAAAUUGCAUUUCUUGUCGCUUCUGGACGCUGCGUAAAGUUACAACCAUCCAUAUAGUUCACCUAUAGCAGAACUUCAUAAUGCCUUUUCAAAGAAUAAGAAUGUUUUCUUUAACUUUUCUACUGUAAAAAUUUUCAAAUUAUAACCUGCGCACCCGACUGCUUGUUUAUUAAAAACUUGAUUUCUAAAACUGGCUUAAAAUUGCGGGAGUACUUCGUCCUUAGAUUCAUUGACAUUCUUUGCCUGAAUCUUGAAGGUGUUCUUGUGCUCUUUACCAUUAUUUCUAUGUUACUAGACGCACAUUACACAAAUAACAAUGAAAACAGUAACAAAAACCAGUCUUCGCGUAGUAUGCUCUCCGCAAAAACAUCCAAUACCAUCUUGAUUUCUGUUGAAGACUGGCAUCUUCGGAAGUAUAUCCGCGAUAGUCUUUUCUGGCUUGGCCUCUUGUUAAAUAGUAUUCACAGUAAGUUAGUAGUAUCCACUUUAUUUCGCAUCAUCUUUGGCUCAUAUAGGUAUUGGCAUUUAGUAAGACCCUUACGUAAACUUAGAUAUCCGGCGCAAUAAGCUGAGAUGCACACUAUAUCCAUUGCGGGUUAGUACCGCAGCAUACUCAGCAACGGUUGUAAAAAGACGGUCGACUGUUUUGAUAGGCUACGCUAAUUUACUUUAAAGUAGGUUACUUUAAAGUAGUUACUGUAGUUAUAGUAUUGUAUUUUCGCUUGUAUUAUCUCAGUUAAAAUCUUUAAAGUUUGUUUCACGAUUAUGAUGGGUAGGUUGUGCUGUAGCUGACUAAAGAGUAGAUAGUUACCGGAAGUCAGCUACAUUGUUACCUGCCUAACACUUACCUGCUCGACAGUUCCGGCUCAAAAUUAAACAAAGCUCGUAAAUACAUUUUCUCCACAAGAGGCACGGUUCGAGUCCCGAAAAUCUGCUAGGUAAUCAUUUUUGACUACAUUCAAUAAACCUCAGUUCCAACAGCAUAAUUGUCACUAGCUUUCUACCAAGAACGUUGAAAACAGACAUCAACUUACAAACUUACAGAGAGCUACCCUAAAACACUAGAUCGACGUAUACGACGCAUCGAAACAUCGCAAAGAAAAACGGAGCAAAAACCUACUUCCAAAUUCGGAAGGAUUGUCUUUGCUACCCAUAAAAGCCUAUAAUACUUCGAUAUUAGACGAAAAGUGAAAUUUAGAAUCCACAAAGCUGUUUUCAUAUUUGACGAGAAGUGAAGUCCUAGAAGCCACAAAGGUGCACGUGAACGUGACCUUUUCCCUGGCACGCCUUAGGAGUACCUUUCUCCAGACCACGUCGUAAGUUCCUCUCUAAGAAUACCUCUGAAAUAUUCCACCCGAAAGAAUCACCGUUUUGCAUCAACAAGCACACCAGACACACCGAGCCAAGCAGCCAGUGAAAACACACCAGUGAAAACUCAAAAAAUGUCACCUUCGUAUGCCUUUAUUCACAACAAACACGUCCUGGAAGUCGUUCAUCCGGGAUAGUAAUGCCUGGCAUGCAAUGUGCGAGCACGCACAAAAACUGGUGCACGAAUAAAACAUGCGGGAGCACAGAGGGUGAGAAACCAUCUACUGGAAGAACCUACUUACCUUUUUUGGCCUAUUUGAAACAAUGAGUGGAGAAGUGAAAGACCUUCACAUAGGGCCUGCCACCAUAGCUUACCAUAGCGCAGUGAUAAGAUUUUCCUUCCCUAUCGGGAGACGAAAUCCUGCCACGAAAUCCUGUCCAACGCCACGGACAAUCGAGGGCAUUGACGGCCGCGGCCGAGAGGAAGGAGAGCACUCGCAGGUUGUGCGGCGUACAGCGCACACAUCAGCCAUACCCCGUACAAGUACUGGCUACACAUCUGAGUAUUCCGAUGCUUCCUGCGCAACAGGUUCAGACAUUUCCCUGAUUUCACUAAUAGGGAGUGGUAACCUCACUACCGGCGUUCCUUCCAGAUGUCUUCGACCUGUUUUGUGACUCUCAAUAAGGCUGGUUGUAAUUAGCCAUCCAUAUAUCUUCUCCCAGUCAAAGUGAACUUCCAUAUCCUGGUCGGACUGGAUAGGCGACAAGCAGUAAGGAAUGUUGUAGCGGUAGUGGUAGUUGUAGUACCAGUAGCGCGAAAUUUCGAACUAUGCACACAAGAGAUGUGUGCCGCACUACGUGAAAUCAUUCGUCCACGAAUGGAUCCAAAAUACAGUUGCAAACGCCCAAAGAAUUCCAUUGCUAAUGAAGUUUUGCACAUACUUCCGACUAUCGUAAUUAUCGAAAGUGUACUACCGCACACAUUUCUUCAGAGAACGUGAUAGAAGCAAGAAGCAAAAAGGGGUCCAAGCACAAAUCCAGAGCAGGAUGAUAUACAUUAGAAGAAUAGCUUUUAUGGUGCUGACCUCUUUACGAAUUUCCAUUCAAGCCAUUUCCUUUCUGCACCCAGUGACUGACCGAGCGACCGACCGGACUGCUUAAUCCAAGAAAUUUUCUCCAUAUCCGAAAUUCUCUCCAUAUCCGUUAUCCUGAAAGACUGCCUCAGGCUUAGUGAACUCCAAUACACUGACCAUAUAUCCACCUGAAUUCCCGAAGACACAGAUGUGCGAGCUUUCUCCACAAUAUCACACUCCAUAUACCAUGAUCUAUAGAGAUGCUAACGAUUUCCCACACUAACACUGUUCACCGACAAAAACACCGCCAGCCUGUCCUAACUUCCGUUCCUUAAAGACCGUUCCAUCAUCAAAGACUUCCUCCUCCAUCCAAUAGUUUCCUAACUGUGUAUGUGUGUGUGACCUUCACCUGUUCCUUCCCAAAGAGAAAGAAAGCGAGAGAGUUACCAUCAAGUCCAGCUUUCUUACCCUGUAUGCCUUCCUCUUCUGCCGUCUUUUCCUUUUAAUCUCCACAACGAACUAGUUAGCUCCUUAUCUGAUUGUCAUCAUUUCUUGCGUACUCUCAAAACCACAUCGAGCACAUCACUAAUCCAAUUGCGAUCUAAUUGUUCAUCACUAAUCAUCCAAUUGUCCACUGAUUUAGCUGAGGUGAUUUUGGAUAAAGAUUGAUUUUGUCUGAUACGUGUGAGCUAUAGAGAUUACGAGAUCGUGUCCUGUAGGUAAAC
Molecule: RNA transcript, 6107 nt
Organism: Varroa destructor (honeybee mite)
Lineage: Eukaryota; Metazoa; Arthropoda; Arachnida; Mesostigmata; Varroidae
Source: RefSeq, a predicted model, not a curated record